AACGCACAUUGCGCUCUUGGGCAUUCCUGAGAGCAUGCCUGUUUCAGAAUCGUCAACAAACCAUCUGGUUUUUUUAGAUCCUCUUUUCUCUCUGGAGGGAGAAGGGGGUUUAAGGCUGGGAGGCUGAGUCGUUUUCCAAAUAGACAUCUGUUUUUUUGGAAUGACUUGAAAUUGACAAGAGAAAAGAGGAAAUAGCAAUGACCUCCAUGAAAAAAAAAGCGCGACAAGAAGGAACUCUCUUCAACCCCUCGCUUUUUGCUAAAGUGGAAGGACUCACUUGUUUUUUCCAAACGUUUUUCUCUAAACCCGAUCUCUUAUGAGAUCAAUCAAAAGAGGUCGUCUAACGACAUUUUUUGGAAUGGAUCUGAAAUCAGGCAAGACUACCCGCUGAACUUAA
RNAcentral lists this unclassified non-coding RNA (397 nucleotides) under uncultured fungus. RNAcentral's name for it is "partial contains 5.8S ribosomal RNA, internal transcribed spacer 2, and large subunit ribosomal RNA". Lineage: Eukaryota; Fungi. The record is from RNAcentral.